This is a long non-coding RNA of Mercenaria mercenaria, 4661 nucleotides long. RefSeq lists it as uncharacterized. The transcript is spliced from 3 exons. The record is from RefSeq and is a predicted model, not a curated record. Lineage: Eukaryota; Metazoa; Mollusca; Bivalvia; Venerida; Veneridae.
UCUUCACAGAGGAGAUAUAGGCAACAUUAAAAAAAAUUAUGGCGGAGAGCUAUCUUUGCCACGAGUUUUUAGUGUCAUUGUCGUGUUAUAUCAAUGGUUUAUCGUUAGGAAUCAUAAUAAAUGAUUGCAGAAGACGAACUUUGUGUAUAUUUAUCAGAUUCAGGUUGCAUUGAUCUUAAUUCGUACUCGAAACCUGUUGUUUUUGUUUACGUGAAUUGAAACUGAAAGUUAAACGGUGUUAAACAGUGUGUUAAACAUUUAAAACAACGUGUGUUAUUCUGAAUACACAUUCAGGGACUACGGAAAAAUAUGAGCGACAGAUCUCUGGAGAAAAUUUGUUGACAACUAUUUCAGCAAUCGAAGUUACCGUUUAUUUUCCACAGGCACAGGCAUUUCCCCAAAUGGUAGGAGAAUUUUGAUAGAGAUUCUGCAUAUGACAGACUACAAUAUAUUAAGGAGCAGUAGCGAAGUUAUCAACCAUUGUAUUCUAGUGUCUGUAGGACAACUACACAAGAACUUUUUCAACAAUAAAAGCUGUCCACACUCAGCAAAAUGACUUGGACAUAAAAAGGCUAAGCAUGUAUAUGCCGAUACUUCAUUCAACAUGUUCCACUCAAAGGAAAUGCUGCCUUUGCUCAACAAUAAUGAGAGUAUAGCUGAAAGUACUGUAUUACUACACUUGUGUAAGAAUGAGUAAUUUUAGAAACAAAAUGUAGAAUCAGCUUCAAUUUCGAACAAAAGAACUUCGAGAAAGAAUUUUAACACAGAUAAAGUGGCAUGAACAAAGUCGAACCGUUUGUGGCAAUGGAGGAAAUGAGACUGUCGGGAAAGUUUACCAGACAUAAAUGCUUGUGAUUUCAACUAAUCAGCUCCUACUUCUCUCGUUUUCAUCAACUCGAAAAGACAACAGAUGUUGAAGAUUAUGACUCGGAUGUUAAAGAAGAUGGAAAGAAAGCUAUCCGGUCAAAAAGUUCUUUCAAGUCUCAAUUGAUAGCACCCACUAAAGACAAAAUAUGACUACUUCCAUGGCUGACAAUUUAAAGUUAGCAGAAGACUUAAGAAAUAAUUUAUAGCAAAACCGUUUUUAUACGCCCGUUUGAAAAACGGGACGUAUUAUGGGAACGCCCCUGGCGGGCGGGCGGGCGGGCGGCGUCCACAGACCUUGUCCGGAGCAUAUCUUCUACAUGCAUGAAGGGAUUUUGAUGAAACUUGGCACAGUUGUUCACCAUCAUGAGACGGAGUGUCAUGCGCAAGAACCAGGUCCCUAGGUCUAAGGUCAAGGUCACACUUGGAGGUCAAAGGUCAAAUUCAAGAAUGACUUUGUCCGGAGCAUAUAUUCUUCAUGCAUAGAGGGAUUUUGAUGAAAGUUGGCACAAUUGUUCAUCAUCAUGAGAAGGAGUGUCAUGCGCAAGAACCAGGUCCCUAGGUCUAAGGUCAAGGUCACACUUAGAGGUCAAAGGAUACAAGAAUGAAAACUUUGUCCGGAGCAUUUUUUCUUCAUGCAUAGAGGGAUUUUGAUAUAACUUGGCACAAAUGUUCACCACCAUGAGGCGGAGUGUCAUGCGCAAGAACCAGGUCUCUAGGUCUAAGGUCAAGGUCACACUUAGAGGUCAAAGGAUACAAGAAUGAAAACCUUGUCCGGAGCAUUUCUUCUUCAUGCAUUAGAGGGAUUUUGAUAUAACUUGGCACAAAUGUUCACCACCACAAGACGUAGUGUCAUGCGCAAGAAACAGGUCCCUAGGUCUAAGGUCAAGGUCACACUUAGAGGCCAAAGGUCAGAUACAAGAAUGACUUUGUCCGAAGCAUUUCUUCUUCAUGCAUGGAGGGAUUUUGAUGUAACUUGACACAAUUAUACACCAUCAUGAGACGAAGUGUCAUGCGCAGUUCCCUUCUUUAGAAUUACUUCCCUUUGUUGUUACUAUAAAUAGCUUAUAUUGUAACUUUUUCAUUACUAGUCGUAGGGAAAAAUCGAGACCACUUUUCUGUAGUACAACAUGCAUGCUACAUCCAAUUUUGAGGUGUAUUUUGACCAGUCUCUACCUGGUAAAGAUUUUUGUGUGGACUUACAAUUUUUUUUUGAUUUUUUUUUUUUUUUUUUUUUUUAAGAUUAACUUCCCUUAGUUGUUACUAUAAAUAACUUAUAUUGUAACUUUUUUAUAAUUGACCGUAGGGAAAAACCAAGACCACUUUUCUGUGGUACAACAUAGAUGUUACUUUCUAAUUUUAGGUGUAUUUUAAGGUAUCUCUACCUGGUAAGGAGUUUUUUUGUGGACUUAGAAAAACAAAACACUUAGUUAUUACUAAACAACCACAAAAUUAAAAUUCCAUUUGCAAAUACAGGUGCUAGAGUAAAGAAAUUUGCUGUGACGGGCGUAUAUUGUGACAUUCUUGCACUCUUGUUUACUUUGUUUUUUUCACAGUGGGAGUUUUAGGUCAAGCAAGAGCAGUUAUUUCAUAUAACAUUUAACAGUCAGAUUGUAUAGUGUUUAAACACGUCUUGCUAGAAGUUAUUGCUAUUCUAAUAUAUCUGGUAUGUAAAAGUUAUAUCAAACAUGACGGAACUGUUUAUUUUGCACAUGUAUAAUGUGUAUGGCACCAAAUGUUAGGUCGUCACAUUCUUUCUCAGUACCAGAAAUGGUAUGCAUGCACAUUGAACUGGCAUUUCCAAUGUUGGCAAAACCCAUCUGAUAUUCCCCAUGCCAGAUGAAUUCGUGCUGUUAAUGACAACUAAAGAUUCAUGCACAUAUAUCGUUUAUGUAAAAUUCGAAAAAGUCAGAUAUAUUGAUAGUUUCUCUACGUUCCUUGUAGUAUAUUUCUUGAUUGAAAAGAUGUUACUUUAUGGUGAUAACACAACGUUACACUACAAAUGAUAAAGCUAAAAUAGAACUUUAUUAUUGUGCAUCACUGAAAGGUCAUGACAUCACUUCUGCUCACAGACAUCUAUUUCUCGCACUUUACAAACUUUAAGAAAGAGUGCUACAAAGAAAGUAUUUCUAUUUGCUUUAUCUAUUUUUAGCUCACCUGAGCACAAAGUGCUCAAAGGUGAGCUUUAGUGAUCGCCCUGUGUCCGUCGUCCGUCCGUCCGUCGUCAACAAUUUGACUGUUAACACUCUAGACGUCACAUUUUUGGCCCAAUCUUAAUGAAACUUGGUCAGAAUGUUACCCUCAAUAAAAUCUUGGACGAGUUUGAUAUUGGGUCAUCUGGGAUCAAAAGCUAGGUCACCAGGUCAAAUCAAAGGAAAAGCUUGUUAACACUCUAGAGGUCACAAUUUUGGCUCAAUCUUAAUGAAACUUGGUCAGAAUGUUACCCUCAAUAAAAUCUUGGACGAGUUCGAUAUUGGGUCAUCUGUGGUCAAAAACUAGGUCACCAGGUCAAAUCAAAGGAAAAGCUUGUUAACACUCUAGAGGUCACAAUUUUGGUCCAAUCUAAAUGAAACUUGAUCAGAGUAUUAUCCUCAAUAAAGUAUUGGAAGAGUUCGAUAUUGGGUCAUCUGGGGUCAAAAACUAGGUCACCAGGUCAAAUCAAAGGGAAAGCUUGUUAACACUGUAGAGGCCGCAUUUAUGACUAUAUCUUCAUGAAACUUGGUCAGAAUGUUAAUAUUGAUAAUCUUAAGGUUCAGUUUGAGUCUGGGUCAUGUAGGAUCAGAAACUAGGUCACCAGGUCAAAUCAAAGGAAAAGUUAGUUUACACUGUAGAGGCCACAUUUAUGACCAUAUCUUAAUGAAACUUGGUCAAAAUGUUAAUCUUGAUGAUCUAUAGCUCAAGUUCAAAUCUGGUUUAAGUGGGGUCAAAAACUAGGUCACCAGGUCAAAUCAAAGGAAAAGCUUGUUAACACUCUAGAGGCCAUAUUUGUGACUAUAUCUUAAUGAAACUUGAUCAGAAUGUUAAUCUUGAUGAUCUUAAGGUCAAGUUAAAAUCUGGGUCAGGUGGGGUCAAAAACUAGGUCACUAGGUCAUAUCAAAGGAAAAGCUUGUUAACACUGUAGAGGCCACAUUUAUGACUGUAUCUUCAUGAAACUUAGUCAGAAUGUUGACCUUGAUGAUCUUUAGGUCAAGUUCGAAUCUGGGUCAUGUCGGGUCAAAAACUGGGUCAUGGGGUCAAAUCAAAGGAAUAGCUGGUUAACACUUUAGAAGCCACAUUUAUGACCAUAUCUUAAUGAAACUUGGUCAGAAUGUUAAUCUUGAUGAUCUUUAGGUCAAUAGGUCAGGUGAGUGAUACAGGGCCUUCAUGGCCCUCUUGUUUUAUUUGUAAAAUACUGUGUGCAUGGAAACUAUUCUGUCAGAAUAUAAAACUUUUAUGUACAAGACAAGCAAGAAAAACCUUCAGUCAUGUGUUUAAAAUUCAGAUAGAAAUAUCCGUCCCUCGGCCACCUGAGCAUUGGUGCAUGGUAACGAGGAUUGUAGAGUUGCCGCCCAGUGUGCAGGUGCCCUCGGGAUGGAUAUUUCUAUCUGAUUCUUAUAAUAAAUGACAUAUAUCAUUAAUACAUCUUGCAGAAUAGUUCCAUUAAGGCGCAAAUGAAAGAGAAAGCGUACAGCAAAUAACUAGCUCAGGGUAUGUGUAAAUUAAUCAAGAAAGUUGUGUUUUGUGAAAUUAAUCAAGAAAGUUGUGUUUUGUGAUAUUUUGUUUAAAAACAUGUUUUCUAAGUAAAAUAUUUUAUCAAA